AUUGAACGCUGGCGGCAGGCUUAACACAUGCAAGUCGAGCGGUAACAGAGAGAAGCUUGCUUCUCUGCUGACGAGCGGCGGACGGGUGAGUAAUGCCUAGGAAUCUGCCUAGUCGUGGGGGAUAACUUGCCGAAAGGUAAGCUAAUACCGCAUACGUCCUACGGGAGAAAGGAGGGGACCUUCGGGCCUUUCGCUAUUAGAUGAGCCUAGGUCGGAUUAGUUAGUUGGUGAGGUAAUGGCUCACCAAGACCGCGAUCCGUAACUGGUCUGAGAGGAUGAUCAGUCACACUGGAACUGAGACACGGUCCAGACUCCUACGGGAGGCAGCAGUGGGGAAUAUUGGACAAUGGGGGGGAACCCUGAUCCAGCCAUGCCGCGUGUGUGAAGAAGGUCUUAGGAUUGUAAAGCACUUUAAGUUGGGAGGAAGAGCAGUUAACUAAUAUUUGACUGUUUUGACGUUACCGACAGAAUAAGCACCGGCUAACUUCGUG
This 491-nucleotide ribosomal RNA is filed under the name uncultured bacterium. RNAcentral describes it as "partial 16S ribosomal RNA". It matches the Rfam family "Bacterial small subunit ribosomal RNA", at positions 30 to 507 of the family's 1533-position model. The record is from RNAcentral.